RNAcentral lists this ribosomal RNA (468 nucleotides) under uncultured bacterium. RNAcentral describes it as "partial 16S ribosomal RNA". It matches the Rfam family "Bacterial small subunit ribosomal RNA", at positions 28 to 507 of the family's 1533-position model. The record is from RNAcentral.
GUCGAACGCUGGCGGCGUGCUUAACACAUGCAAGUCGAACGGAAAGGCCCUGCUUUUGUGGGGUGCUCGUGUGGCGAACGGGUGAGUAACACGUGAGUAACCUGCCCUUGACUUUGGGAUAACUUCAGGAAACUGGGGCUAAUACCGGAUAGGAGCUCCUGCUGCAUGGUGGGGGUUGGAAAGUUUCGGCGGUUGGGGAUGGACUCGCGGCUUAUCAGCUUGUUGGUGGGGUAGUGGAUUACCAAGGCUUUGACGGGUAGCCGGCCUGGGAGGGUGACCGGCCACAUGGGGACUGAGAUACGGCCAAGACUCCUACGGGAGGCAGCAGUGGGGAAUAUGGCACAAUGGUCGGAAGCCUGAUGCAACAACGCCGCGUGUGGGAUGACGGCCUUCGGGUUGUAAACCGCUUUCGCCUGAGACGAAGCGUUAGUGACGGUAAUGGGUGAAGAAGCACCGGCUAACUACGUG